UACGGAGGGUGCAAGCGUUAUCCGGAUUUACUGGGUUUAAAGGGUGCGUAGGUGGGUUGGUAAGUCAGUGGUGAAAUCUUCGAGCUUAACUCGGAAACUGCCAUUGAUACUAUCAAUCUUGAAUUAUCUGGAGGUAAGCGGAAUAUGUCAUGUAGCGGUGAAAUGCUUAGAUAUGACAUAGAACACCCAUUGCGAAGGCAGCUUACUACGGAUAUAUUGACACUGAGGCACGAAAAGCGUGGGGAUCAAACAGG
RNAcentral lists this ribosomal RNA (254 nucleotides) under uncultured bacterium. RNAcentral's name for it is "partial 16S ribosomal RNA". It matches the Rfam family "Bacterial small subunit ribosomal RNA", at positions 524 to 776 of the family's 1533-position model. The record is from RNAcentral.